UGAGGAAUAUUGGUCAAUGGACGCAAGUCUGAACCAGCCAAGUAGCGUGCAGGAUGACGGCCCUAUGGGUUGUAAACUGCUUUUAUAUGGGGAUAAAGUGGGGAACGUGUUCCCUUUUGCAGGUACCAUAUGAAUAAGGACCGGCUAAUUCCGUGCCAGCAGCCGCGGUAAUACGGAAGGUCCAGGCGUUAUCCGGAUUUAUUGGGUUUAAAGGGAGCGUAGGCUGUUUGUUAAGCGUGUUGUGAAAUGUAAGAGCUCAACUUUUAGAUUGCAGCGCGAACUGGCAGACUUGAGUGCGCACAACGUAGGCGGAAUUCAUGGUGUAGCGGUGAAAUGCUUAGAUAUCAUGACGAACUCCGAUUGCGAAGGCAGCUUACGGGAGCGCAACUGACGCUAAAGCUCGAAGGUGCGGGUAUCGAACAGG
RNAcentral lists this ribosomal RNA (424 nucleotides) under Verrucomicrobiota bacterium. RNAcentral describes it as "Verrucomicrobia bacterium partial 16S ribosomal RNA". It matches the Rfam family "Bacterial small subunit ribosomal RNA", at positions 355 to 776 of the family's 1533-position model. The record is from RNAcentral. Lineage: Bacteria; Pseudomonadati; Verrucomicrobiota.